CGUAGGGUGCAAGCGUUAAUCGGAAUUACUGGGCGUAAAGCGUACGCAGGCGGCUUUGCAAGACAGGUGUGAAAUCCCCGGGCCUAACCUGGGAACUGCAUUUGUGACUGCAUGGCUAGAGUCUGUCAGAGGGGGGUGGAAUUCCACGUGUAGCAGUGAAAUGCGUAGAGAUGUGGAAGAACACCGAUGGCGAAGGCAGCCCCCUGGGAUGAGACUGACGCUCAUGUACGAAAGCGUGGGGAGCAAACAGGAUUAGAUACCCUGGUAGUCCACGCCCUAAACGAUGUCUACUAGUUGUCGGGGGGUAACUCCUUCGGUAACGCAGCUAACGCGUGAAGUAGACCGCCUGGGGAGUACGGUCGCAAGAUUA
RNAcentral lists this ribosomal RNA (370 nucleotides) under uncultured organism. Its description in RNAcentral is "bacterial SSU rRNA". It matches the Rfam family "Bacterial small subunit ribosomal RNA", at positions 526 to 896 of the family's 1533-position model. The record is from RNAcentral.